UACGUAGGGUGCGAGCGUUAAUCGGAAUUACUGGGCGUAAAGCGUGCGCAGGCGGUGAUGUAAGACCGAUGUGAAAUCCCCGGGCUCAACCUGGGAAUUGCAUUUGUGACUGUACGGCUAGAGUGUGUCAGAGGGGGGUGGAAUUCCAGGUGUAGCAGUGAAAUGCGUAGAGAUCUGGAGGAACACCGAUGGCGAAGGCAGCCCCCUGGGCUAACACUGACGCUCAUGCACGAAAGCGUGGGGAGCAAACAGG
RNAcentral lists this ribosomal RNA (253 nucleotides) under uncultured bacterium. Its description in RNAcentral is "partial 16S ribosomal RNA". It matches the Rfam family "Bacterial small subunit ribosomal RNA", at positions 524 to 776 of the family's 1533-position model. The record is from RNAcentral.